CCGUAGCCCAAGAGAUCGGGAUAACACCUGGAAACAGAUGCUAAUACCGGAUAACAACAGAUGAUGCCUAUCAACUGUUUAAAAGAUGGUUCUGCUAUCACUCUUGGAUGGACCUGCGGUGCAUUAGCUAGUUGGUAGGGUGACGGCCUACCAAGGCGAUGAUGCAUAGCCGAGUUGAGAGACUGAUCGGCCACAUUGGGACUGAGACACGGCCCAAACUCCUACGGGAGGCAGCAGGC
RNAcentral lists this ribosomal RNA (239 nucleotides) under uncultured Lactobacillus sp. Its description in RNAcentral is "partial 16S ribosomal RNA". It matches the Rfam family "Bacterial small subunit ribosomal RNA", at positions 125 to 354 of the family's 1533-position model. The record is from RNAcentral. Lineage: Bacteria; Bacillati; Bacillota; Bacilli; Lactobacillales; Lactobacillaceae.